RNAcentral lists this ribosomal RNA (253 nucleotides) under uncultured bacterium. Its description in RNAcentral is "partial 16S ribosomal RNA". It matches the Rfam family "Bacterial small subunit ribosomal RNA", at positions 524 to 776 of the family's 1533-position model. The record is from RNAcentral.
UACGAAGGGGGCUAGCGUUGUUCGGAUUUACUGGGCGUAAAGCGCGCGUAGGCGGAUUUUUAAGUCAGGGGUGAAAUCCCGAGGCUCAACCUCGGAAUUGCCUUUGAUACUGGAAGUCUUGAGUUCGGAAGAGGUGAGUGGAAUUGUGAGUGUAGAGGUGAAAUUCGUAGAUAUUCACAAGAACACCGGUGGCGAAGGCGGCUCACUGGUCCGAAACUGACGCUGAGGUGCGAAAGCGUGGGGAGCAAACAGG